CCUACGGGCGGCAGCAGUGAGGAAUAUUGGUCAAUGGCCGAGAGGCUGAACCAGCCAAGUCGCGUGAGGGAAGAAUGUCCUAUGGAUUGUAAACCUCUUUUGUCAGGGAGCAAAGUCACCCACGUGUGGGUGUUGGAGAGUACCUGAAGAAAAAGCAUCGGCUAACUCCGUGCCAGCAGCCGCGGUAAUACGGAGGAUGCGAGCGUUAUCCGGAAUGACUGGGCGUAAAGGGUGCGUAGGUGGUUUAGUAAGUUGGCGGUGAAAUUCCGGGGCUCAACCCCGGCGCUACCGCCAAAACUAUUAGACUAGAGUGCAGGAGGGGUAAGUGGAAUUCCUAGUGUAGCGGUGGAAUGCGUAGAUAUUAGGAGGAACAUCAGGUGCGAAGGCGACUUACUGGACUGUAACUGACGCUGAGGCACGAAAGCGUGGGGAGCGAACAGGAUUAGAUACCCCAGUAGUC
This 460-nucleotide ribosomal RNA is filed under the name uncultured bacterium. RNAcentral describes it as "partial 16S ribosomal RNA". It matches the Rfam family "Bacterial small subunit ribosomal RNA", at positions 338 to 795 of the family's 1533-position model. The record is from RNAcentral.